AAAAAAUGAGACUUCCUUCAUGGUUAGCCACCUGCUCCACCACCUCAACCACCGCCAUUUUAUUCUCCGAUGAACAAACCACGUCUCCCAAACAUCUAGUUUCCGACACUAGUAGCUCCUCUGAUACUCCUGGCAGCGCCUUCUCAUCGUCAACAACUAGCGACGCCAGCAAUGUUAGCCUCCAGAGCUACCUCUCUCUCCAGACUCUUCCCUCCGUCCCUUCCCUUCAAAAGCUCACACCCGAAACUCUAAACGUUUCCAUCUCUUUUCUUUGUUCAAACUCUCUUCAUCCUCGCCCAAAGCUUCCAAUCACGUGCCUCGCCAUCCACGGCAAUCUCCUUUACUCUGCUUCCUCUCAUGAAAUCAAUG
RNAcentral lists this unclassified non-coding RNA (369 nucleotides) under Hevea brasiliensis (rubber tree). Lineage: Eukaryota; Viridiplantae; Streptophyta; Magnoliopsida; Malpighiales; Euphorbiaceae. The record is from RNAcentral.